Molecule: transfer RNA, 74 nt
Filed under: Chloroflexota bacterium
Lineage: Bacteria; Bacillati; Chloroflexota
Also listed under: 2 other names
Description: Chloroflexi bacterium tRNA-Val
Rfam family: tRNA
About the family: Transfer RNA (tRNA) molecules are approximately 80 nucleotides in length.
Source: RNAcentral
GGGCGAUUGGCUCAGCUGGUUAGAGCGCUGCGUUCACAUCGCAGAGGUCGCUGGUUCGAAUCCAGCAUCGCCCA